UGCCAGCCGCCGCGGUAAUACGGGGGGGGCAAGCGUUGUUCGGAAUUACUGGGCGUAAAGGGCUCGUAGGCGGCCAACUAAGUCGGACGUGAAAUCCCCAGGCUCAACCUGGGAACUGCGUCCGAUACUGGAUGGCUUGAAUCCGGGAGAGGGAUGCAGAAUUCCAGGUGUAGCGGUGAAAUGCGUAGAUAUCUGGAGGAAUACCGGUGGCGAAGGCGGCAUCCUGGACCGGCAUUGACGCUGAGGAGCGAAAGCCAGGGGAGCAAACGGGAUUAGAUA
Molecule: ribosomal RNA, 279 nt
Filed under: uncultured bacterium
Lineage: Bacteria
Description: partial 16S ribosomal RNA
Rfam family: Bacterial small subunit ribosomal RNA
Source: RNAcentral